AGUGAACGCUGGCGGUAGGCCUAACACAUGCAAGUCGAACGGCAGCACAGUAAGAGCUUGCUCUUACGGGUGGCGAGUGGCGGACGGGUGAGGAAUACAUCGGAAUCUACUUUUUCGUGGGGGAUAACGUAGGGAAACUUACGCUAAUACCGCAUACGACCUACGGGUGAAAGCAGGGGAUCUUCGGACCUUGCGCGAUUGAAUGAGCCGAUGUCGGAUUAGCUAGUUGGCGGGGUAAAGGCCCACCAAGGCGACGAUCCGUAGCUGGUCUGAGAGGAUGAUCAGCCACACUGGAACUGAGACACGGUCCAGACUCCUACGGGAGGCAGCAGUGGGGAAUAUUGGACAAUGGGCGCAAGCCUGAUCCAGCCAUACCGCGUGGGUGAAGAAGGCCUUCGGGUUGUAAAGCCCUUUUGUUGGGAAAGAAAAGCAGCAGGUUAAUACCCCGCUGUUCUGACGGUACCCAAAGAAUAAGCGCCGGCUAACUGCGU
Molecule: ribosomal RNA, 491 nt
Filed under: uncultured bacterium
Lineage: Bacteria
Description: partial 16S ribosomal RNA
Rfam family: Bacterial small subunit ribosomal RNA
Source: RNAcentral